GAUGUUACUGGUGCAAAAAGUUUAUAUCAGGGUACAUAUUAUUCUCUCUUUGUGCAAAUACUUCGUUGCUCCAGAACUGGAGAAUCUACUUUUUGGAUAUUAUAUAUACUUUUAGUUGUUGAAGUUGCUAUGGAAUUGUGGAGUUCGCAAAUGCAACUUCUUCAUGGUAUGAGAUGUAUGUUGAGUUGUAUGAUAGAAUUGAUUUUGUAGUAGUGUUGGUUUAUUUGAUGCUACAUUUUGUGUUUAG
RNAcentral lists this long non-coding RNA (247 nucleotides) under Solanum tuberosum (potato). Its description in RNAcentral is "long non-coding RNA (STUB_LNC000473)". Lineage: Eukaryota; Viridiplantae; Streptophyta; Magnoliopsida; Solanales; Solanaceae. The record is from RNAcentral.